GAUGAACGCUAGCUACAGGCUUAACACAUGCAAGUCGAGGGGCAGCAUGAACUUAGCUUGCUAAGUUUGAUGGCGACCGGCGCACGGGUGAGUAACACGUAUCCAACCUUCCGUUUACUCAGGGAUAGCCUUUCGAAAGAAAGAUUAAUACCUGAUAGUAUGGUGAGAUUGCAUGAUAGCACCAUUAAAGAUUUAUUGGUAAACGAUGGGGAUGCGUUCCAUUAGGUAGUAGGCGGGGUAACGGCCCACCUAGCCGACGAUGGAUAGGGGUUCUGAGAGGAAGGUCCCCCACAUUGGAACUGAGACACGGUCCAAACUCCUACGGGAGGCAGCAGUGAGGAAUAUUGGUCAAUGGGCGAGAGCCUGAACCAGCCAAGUAGCGUGAAGGAUGACUGCCCUAUGGGUUGUAAACUUCUUUUAUACGGGAAUAAAGUGAGGCACGUGUGCCUUUUUGAUGUACCGUAUGAAUAAGGAUCGGCUAACUCCGUGCCAGCAGCCG
RNAcentral lists this ribosomal RNA (499 nucleotides) under uncultured bacterium. Its description in RNAcentral is "bacterial SSU rRNA". It matches the Rfam family "Bacterial small subunit ribosomal RNA", at positions 28 to 517 of the family's 1533-position model. The record is from RNAcentral.